This is a long non-coding RNA of Paramisgurnus dabryanus, 1841 nucleotides long. RefSeq lists it as uncharacterized. Lineage: Eukaryota; Metazoa; Chordata; Actinopteri; Cypriniformes; Cobitidae. The record is from RefSeq and is a predicted model, not a curated record.
CGGGCAUAUGACCGACCUUCAACGUUGAAAUUUGGUUGAAAUUAGGUCAGUUGUUUGUUCAACGUUGAAACAACGUUGAAACAACGGUGAAUGGUAAACGGUUGAAAAAGGUUAAUAAAAUGCUUAAAAAUCAACGUUGAAAUUUGGUUGAAAUAACGUCAGUUGUUUGUUCAACGUUGAUUCAACGUUGAAACAACGUUGAAACAACAGUGAAGUAAAUGGUUGCAGAGAGACAAUAAAAUAAUGUUUUAUAAUAUGUGAAUCAUUCAGAAAAAAAAUUUAAAAACUCAUUUUAUAAAAUUGAUGAAAUUAUAAAAAAAUGUAACAAAUAAUUGAAUAUACAGGUAUCGAGGUAAUCUCGCGAGAUUACACGAGACUGGACUGUUUUAACGGCUGUCUGCGAGAUCUUGCGUAGCACCUUAACGUUGUAUGCCACCCGCCAAACAUAAGAAGAAGAAGAAGAAGAAGAGAUCUUGCAUAUCACAUGAGAAAAUGCUUCAGAGAAAGAAGAGGUAAGGAAAUAUAAGUCAAUGUAAACGUAUAACGUUAUUUUAUUCACAUAUACAAAGUGGUAUGACAAAAAGCACGAUGCCAAAGCGGGGUUUUUUCUGUUAGUUGCGAAUGUAUUCGUUAUAGUAGUUACUUUACUAGUCCACGGGAUGUUCCCGCCGAAAUCGGACUUCGUUAUUAUGAAUAUUAAUAAAUUAAUAUGAGGUGUGGUGUUAUCAACUUAACCACUUGGUUUUUGCUUCAGAAAAGCAACUAGUUAUAAAUGUAGGGGCUUUUUUGGACAACUUCGGUGAAAAAGUGUUGAUUUCGUAGUUCAGUCAGCGUAACUUAUAUCCGAGAGGUCUUACAGGCGCCACAGACACCUAUCAGCCUUUUGUAAGGAGGAGCAGCUCGAGUGCGGUGCGGUCCGGUCAGUGUUAAGCUGCUUAGUUUCUUAAAUUCAUAUUACUGAUAAAGUGUUAAAACUUAGAUGAGAUGUUGGUUUUAUGGCUCACGAAUUCGCAAUAACGGAUACGUUUAGCAGUUCGUGUUAAUGACAUUAAUCCAAACUUAUUGAUGACGUGAUAACAUGGGCGUCGAAUCCAAUAUUAAUCAUGCUGAGGUUUUCUCGACGGGGUAAUGUGUAUAAAUGCAGUUAUAAAAUUAAAAGGGACAAGAUAGUCGACGUGACCCUCAUGUUUCCAUGGCAAUCAGUCAAUUACAUGUUACGCUUAUGAUCGCACCUGCGGUCAUUCGCGCAGUAUCCAUGAUUUUAAGCGGCAUGAAACACUUAAGUUAACUCCUUUGUACGAAAAUAUCAUGUCGUAGCUCUUCAAAUUAGAAUAGUGAUGAUGAUCUUGUCAAUGCUGAGAUUUUCAUGCAUCAACAGCCACUACAUCUGGAUCAGAUUGAACAAGAAACAGACAGCAAGGGUUGUCAGAUCAGAAACAGAAUGACACACAAGAAACUUCACAGGCAGAUCAACAUGCAAUUUGAAGACGUGUGAUAAAAUACAGAGAGGUGAAGUAGUGUGUCUUUUCAGAUCCCCAUAUCAUUCCUUCUUAAAAGAUGAACCUGAAGAGGAGAUUUGGGAAGAUGCUGUUUCGUAAGUCUCUUUGCCAGAUCACCUGUGGUCAGGAUGUCUGCUAACAAGAUGCCUUGCUGGUCUGGGCGAGUUUAAAGGCUUACACAGACAAUCCAGAAGUUCUGAAGUCCAUCUUCGAUUUCAUUGAUGCUGUCAUCGUAUUAAGUACAGCAUGAGCCAGAAUAGAUGGGGGGUGGUGGCCAUAAGAAGACUGUCAACUAAACCAACAACAAAAUUCAUAUUUGCAGUUUUUCUAUUCAGAUUAAUA